GAUGAAGAACGCAGCGAAAUGCGAUACGUAAUGUGAAUUGCAGAAUUCAGUGAAUCAUCGAGUCUUUGAACGCACAUUGCGCCCGCCAGUAUUCUGGCGGGCAUGCCUGUUCGAGCGUCAUUUCAACCCUCAAGCCCUCGGGUUUGGUGUUGGGGAUCGGCGAGCCUUUCUGGCAAGCCGGCCCCGAAAUCUAGUGGCGGUCUCGCUGCAGCCUCCAUUGCGUAGUAGUAAAACCCUCGCAACUGGAACGCGGCGCGGCCAAGCCGUUAAACCCCCAACUUCUGAAUGUUGACCUCGGAUCAGGUAGGAAUACCCGCUGAACUUAAGCAUAUCAAUAAGCGGAGGA
Molecule: unclassified non-coding RNA, 346 nt
Filed under: soil metagenome
Description: partial contains 5.8S ribosomal RNA, internal transcribed spacer 2, and large subunit ribosomal RNA
Rfam family: 5.8S ribosomal RNA (bases 1-120)
Source: RNAcentral